This 497-nucleotide ribosomal RNA is filed under the name uncultured bacterium. RNAcentral's name for it is "partial 16S ribosomal RNA". It matches the Rfam family "Bacterial small subunit ribosomal RNA", at positions 28 to 507 of the family's 1533-position model. The record is from RNAcentral.
GAUGAACGCUGGCGGCGUGCCUAACACAUGCAAGUCGAGCGAAAGGACGAGAAGAUUGUGCCGCUGAUGUUGGCGGCGGACGGGUGAGUAACACGUGGAUAACCUACCUAUAAGACUGGGAUAAUUACGGGAAACCGUAGCCAAUACCGGAUCAUAUUUUGAACCGCAUGGUUCAAUAGUGCGAGUCGGCCUUCCUGGCUGUUUGAGAUGGAUCCGCGCUGGAUUAGCUAGUUGGUAAGGUAACGGCUUACCAAGGCAACGAGGCAUAGCCGAGCUGAGAGGGUGAUCAGCCACACUGGAACUGAGACACGGUCCAGACUCCUACGGGAGGCAGCAGUGGGGAAUCUUGGGCAAUGGGCGAAAGCCUGACGGAGCAACGCCGCGUGAGUGAUGAAGGUCUUCGGGUCGUAAAGCUCUGUUAUUAGGGAAGAACAGAAGUGGAUUUAACCGUGCAGAUCUUGACGGUACCUAAAGAAUAAGCCCCGGCUAACUACGUG